GAUGAACGCUGGCGGCGUGCCUAAUACAUGCAAGUCGAGCGAACAGAUAAGGAGCUUGCUCCUUUGACGUUAGCGGCGGACGGGUGAGUAACACGUGGGUAACCUACCUAUAAGACUGGGAUAACUUCGGGAAACCGGAGCUAAUACCGGACAAUAUUUCGAACCGCAUGGUUCGAUAGUGAAAGAUGGUUUUGCUAUCACUUAUAGAUGGACCCGCGCCGUAUUAGCUAGUUGGUAAGGUAACGGCUUACCAAGGCGACGAUACGUAGCCGACCUGCGAGGGUGAUCGGCCACACUGGAAGUGAGACACGGUCCAGACUCCUACGGGAGGCAGCAGUAGGGAAUCUUCCGCAAUGGGCGAAAGCCUGACGGAGCAACGCCGCGUGAGUGAUGAAGGUCUUCGGAUCGUAAAACUCUGUUAUUAGGGAAGAACAUACGUGUAAGUAACUGUGCACGUCUUGACGGUACCUAAUCAGAAAGCCACGGCUAACUACGUG
Molecule: ribosomal RNA, 497 nt
Filed under: uncultured bacterium
Lineage: Bacteria
Description: partial 16S ribosomal RNA
Rfam family: Bacterial small subunit ribosomal RNA
Source: RNAcentral